GAAUUCGCCCUUAGAGUUUGAUCCUGGCUCAGGACGAACGCUGGCGGCGCGCCUAACACAUGCAAGUCGAACGAGCGAGAGAGAGCUUGCUUUCUCAAGCGAGUGGCGAACGGGUGAGUAACGCGUGAGGAACCUGCCUCAAAGAGGGGGACAACAGUUGGAAACGACUGCUAAUACCGCAUAAGCCCACAGCUCGGCAUCGAGCAGAGGGAAAAGGAGCAAUCCGCUUUGAGAUGGCCUCGCGACCGAUUAGCUAGUUGGUGAGGUAAUGGCCCACCAAGGCAACGAUCGGUAGCCGGACUGAGAGGUUGAACGGCCACAUUGGGACUGAGACACGGCCCAGACUCCUACGGGAGGCAGCAGUGGGGAAUAUUGCACAAUGGGGGAAACCCUGAUGCAGCGACGCCGCGUGGAGGAAGAAGGUCUUCGGAUUGUAAACUCCUGUUGUUGAGGAAGAUAAUGACGGUACUCAACAAGGAAGUAACGGCUAACUACGUGCCAGCAGCCGCGGUAAAACGUAGGUCACAAGCGUUGUCCGGAAUUACUGGGUGUAAAGGGAGCGCAGGCGGGAAGACAAGUUGGAAGUGAAAUCUAUGGGCUCAACCCAUAAACUGCUUUCAAAACUGUUUUUCUUGAGUAGUGCAGAGGUAGGCGGAAUUCCCGGUGUAGCGGUGGAAUGCGUAGAUAUCGGGAGGAACACCAGUGGCGAAGGCGGCCUACUGGGCACCAACUGACGCUGAGGCUCGAAAGUGUGGGUAGCAAACAGGAUUAGAUACCCUGGUAGUCCACACCGUAAACGAUGAUUACUAGGUGUUGGAGGAUUGACCCCUUCAGUGCCGCAGUUAACACAAUAAGUAAUCCACCUGGGGAGUACGACCGCAAGGCUGAAACUCAAAGGAAUUGACGGGGGCCCGCACAAGCAGUGGAGUAUGUGGUUUAAUUCGACGCAACGCGAAGAACCUUACCAAGUCUUGACAUCCUGCGACGAUGCUGGAAACAGUAUUUUCCUUCGGGACGCAGAGACAGGUGGUGCAUGGUUGUCGUCAGCUCGUGUCGUGAGAUGUUGGGUUAAGUCCCGCAACGAGCGCAACCCUUACUGUCAGUUACUACGCAAGAGGACUCUGGCAGGACUGCCGUUGACAAAACGGAGGAAGGUGGGGAUGACGUCAAAUCAUCAUGCCCUUUAUGACUUGGGCUACACACGUACUACAAUGGCGUUAAACAAAGAGAAGCAAGACCGCGAGGUGGAGCAAAACUCAGAAACAACGUCCCAGUUCGGACUGCAGGCUGCAACUCGCCUGCACGAAGUCGGAAUUGCUAGUAAUCGUGGAUCAGCAUGCCACGGUGAAUACGAUACCCGGGCCUUGCACACACCGCCCGUCA
RNAcentral lists this ribosomal RNA (1383 nucleotides) under uncultured bacterium. RNAcentral's name for it is "bacterial SSU rRNA". It matches the Rfam family "Bacterial small subunit ribosomal RNA". The record is from RNAcentral.